Molecule: unclassified non-coding RNA, 223 nt
Filed under: Hevea brasiliensis (rubber tree)
Lineage: Eukaryota; Viridiplantae; Streptophyta; Magnoliopsida; Malpighiales; Euphorbiaceae
Source: RNAcentral
GCGAAGCAGGCUUACUGAGAGAAAGAUAGAAAUCGAAAGGCAAAGAGAUAGGCAAGCGAGAAAGCGCAUAGCAGCACAUAAAAACAAAGACCUUCACGCGACAACCACGCGCGACGGGCGAUGGGUGGGUGUUUGCAAGGUCCCGGGCUAUGACACCGAUCAAGCUUAAGAAUUUGUGCUGGAGGGCGGAGGCUGUAGUUCCAACUCCAACGUAUGAAGAAAG